This 1325-nucleotide long non-coding RNA is filed under the name Macaca mulatta (Rhesus monkey). RNAcentral describes it as "lncRNA (ENSMMUG00000060155.1)". The record is from RNAcentral. Lineage: Eukaryota; Metazoa; Chordata; Mammalia; Primates; Cercopithecidae.
GGCCUGAGAACCUAGAUCCUCCUCUAGUAGUUUGGAUUGUGUAAACCACUAAGAUAUUAUAUAAGCAAAGAUAGGGGAAGAUAGCCCUUGAAAUGGAAAAUUUACCAAUGAUGGAUCUAUCAUAAUUUUGAGUGAUAGCUAGACUUAGAUAUAAACAAACCAAAAAAAUGGACUCUAACCUUUUUUGCUGUUAAAUCUGUCAGUUACAUAGAUCUUUUCUACUCUUUAGCUGCUUUGCAGGUAUUAAGGAUGACAGCAAUGUUUGGACAAUUUUGCCAAGCACUUAGGGGCUCUAUCAUGAAUUGUGGGAAGCAGGAAAUGUGCAAGCAGCAUAGGAGUGCACCACUGAGGAGAGAGUGACUAUUCUACAGCAAAGUUUUCCUUUCUGGUGAUAUAAAAAGCAGUGGGACAUUCACUGCUAAUCUCUUUGUGAUGACAUAAGGAAGAAUCCUUAUAAAGGUUUAGGACUCUCAGGGAGAGAUGUAUUUCCCUUUUGAAAGGAUAUUUCUAUCACUGUAGAGCACUGAAUUUGGUUUCUGUCACACAUAUCUAAUAUGAUGGGUGUUGCAUGUGAAACGCAGCACCUGUGACAACCUACUGAGGGACUGCUCAGGGACUGCUCAGAGACUGCUACUUCUAGGAAUUCACUGAAAGCCUUGGAAAACGUGGAGAAUCUCCAUUUUCAGAGUUAAUGGACUUAGGUAUAAUUGUUUCAAUUGUCUGAAAUAUCAUAUUUGAUUUUCCUUAGAAUAUCACAGUGGUGAAAGGGCAGGUUCUGGUUCUGAAGUUGGUUCAAAUCCUAGCCCUGCCACUUCCUGGCUGUGAGACCUUGAGCAAGUUGUUUAGUUUCUCUAUACCUCAGUUUCCCCCUUAUUAAAAAGCAAUAAUAAUAACCACUUAAUUUCAAUGAGGUUAAAUAUACGAUACAUUUGGAAUCAAUGAAUUCAAUACACCUGUAAUCAAACUGGCAUGUAUUAAGGACUCAAGAAAUGUUGGCUUUCAGUCUUUUACUAAUACUAUCAUAUUUAUACCCUGGAGAAUGCCUGAUGCAGUCAUUUGUGUCAUACAGGUAUGCAUACUUGAGGUCCAGCCCACCGGAUUGUUUGGUUUCUACAUUGGAUAAGCACUGGGGAGUCCCAGCUGGAGUUGAAGUUCUGCUCACAAGUAGAAAUUUUAAAAGGCUAGACAUUCUGGGGGACUGGUGGUUUGUACUACCAGGGUCUAUUGUAUUAGAAGAUAGAAGACCUUCAUGGAAGACCAGUAAGGAACCAGCUGAGACACAAGCUCACCUUGGGGAAAGAGCCAUCAGGAAUAAAGGAUUGUGA